UACGAAGGGGGCUAGCGUUGUUCGGAUUUACUGGGCGUAAAGCGCACGUAGGCGGAUCGUUAAGUCGGGGGUGAAAUCCUGGAGCUCAACUCCAGAACUGCCUUCGAUACUGGCGAUCUUGAGUCCGGAAGAGGUGAGUGGAACUCCUAGUGUAGAGGUGAAAUUCGUAGAUAUUCGGAAGAACACCAGUGGCGAAGGCGACUGACUGGACAUGUAUUGACGCUGAGGUGCGAAAGCGUGGGGAGCAAACAGG
Molecule: ribosomal RNA, 253 nt
Filed under: uncultured bacterium
Lineage: Bacteria
Description: partial 16S ribosomal RNA
Rfam family: Bacterial small subunit ribosomal RNA
Source: RNAcentral